GGAGCGAGUACAGCGGCGGACGGGUGAGUAACGCGUGGACGAUCUACCCAAGGAUUCGGGAUAACCUUGCGAAAGCGGGGCUAAUACCGAAUGGUCUGGGCAUUUUGAAAUGUGCCUGGUAAAGGUGGCCUCUGAUUCAAACUAUCGUCUUUGGAUGGGUCCGCGUCCCAUUAGCUUGUUGGUAGGGUCAUGGCCUACCAAGGCGACGAUGGGUAGCUGGUCUGAGAGGAUGAUCAGCCACACUGGGACUGGAACACGGCCCAGACUCCUACGGGAGGCAGCAGUGGGGAAUAUUGGGCAAUGGGCGCAAGCCUGACCCAGCAACGCCGCGUGAGGGAAGAAGGUCUUCGGAUCGUAAACCUCAGUCAGGAGGGAAGAAAUGGGUUGUCCUGAACAGGGAUGGCCUUUGACGGUACCUCCAGAGGAAGCACCGGCCAACUCCGUGCCAGCAGCCGCGGUAAUACGGAGGGUGCAAGCGUUAUUCGGAAUCACUGGGCGUAAAGCGCACGUAGGCGGCUUUGCAAGUCAGGUGUGAAAGCCCUCGGCUCAACCGAGGAAUUGCACUUGAAACUGUAGAGCUCGAGUUCGGGAGAGGGUGGCGGAAUUCCAGGUGUAGGAGUGAAAUCCGUAGAUAUCUGGAGGAACACCAGAGGCGAAGGCGGCCACCUGGACCGAAACUGACGCUGAGGUGCGAAAGCGUGGGGGAGCAAACAGGAUUAGAUACCCUGGUAGUCCACGCCGUAAACGAUGGAUGCUAGAUGCUGGGUGUGUAAGACAUUUGGUGUCGGAGUUAACGCGUUAAGCAUCCCGCCUGGGGAGUACGGUCGCAAGGCUGAAACUCAAAGAAAUUGACGUGGGCCCGCACAAGCGGUGGAGUAUGUGGUUUAAUUCGUUGCAACGCGAAGAACCUUACCUGGGCUUGACAUCCCGGGAACCUCCUGGAAACAGGGGCGUGCCCUUCGGGGAACCCGGUGACAGGUGCUGCAUGGCUGUCGUCAGUUCGUGCCGUGAGGUGUUGGGUUAAGUCCCUCAACGAGCGCAACCCUUGUCGUUAGUUUUCAUCAGGUAAAGGUGGGCCCUCUAGGGAGACUUCCGACGUGAACUCGGAGGAAGGUGGGGAGGACGUCAAGUCAUCAUGGCCCUUACGCCCAGGGCUACACACGUACUACAAUGUUGGGUACAAAGGGAAGUCAAGCCGCGAGGGGGAGCCAAUCCCGAAAAGCCUACCCCAGUUCAGAUCUCAUUUUGCAACUCGUCUGCGUGAAGGCGGAAUCGCUAUUAAUCGCGGAUCAGCAUGUCGCGGGGAAUACGUUCCCGGGCCUGGUACACACCGCCCGUCACACCACGAAAGCUGGCUGUACCCGAAGUCAGUGAGCCAACCC
Molecule: ribosomal RNA, 1382 nt
Filed under: uncultured organism
Description: 16S ribosomal RNA
Rfam family: Bacterial small subunit ribosomal RNA
Source: RNAcentral